ACAAGGCACAUCCUGCACAGCCCUAGAUCCC
This 31-nucleotide non-coding RNA is filed under the name Homo sapiens (human). The record is from RNAcentral. Lineage: Eukaryota; Metazoa; Chordata; Mammalia; Primates; Hominidae.